Molecule: ribosomal RNA, 422 nt
Filed under: uncultured Bacteroidales bacterium
Lineage: Bacteria; Pseudomonadati; Bacteroidota; Bacteroidia; Bacteroidales
Description: partial 16S ribosomal RNA
Rfam family: Bacterial small subunit ribosomal RNA
Source: RNAcentral
UGAGGAAUAUUGGUCAAUGGACGGAAGUCUGAACCAGCCAUGCCGCGUGCAGGAUGACGGCUCUAUGAGUUGUAAACUGCUUUUAUACUAGGGUAAAACCAGCUACGUGUAGUUGCUUGAAAGUAUAGUAUGAAUAAGGAUCGGCUAACUCCGUGCCAGCAGCCGCGGUAAUACGGAGGAUUCGAGCGUUAUCCGGAUUUAUUGGGUUUAAAGGGUGCGUAGGCGGUAAUUUAAGUUAGUCGUUAAAUCGGAAGGCUCAACCUUCUCAUGGCGAUUAAUACUGGGUUACUAGAGAUUAGAUGCAGAGGGCGGAAUGUGUAGUGUAGCGGUGAAAUGCUUAGAUAUUACACAGAACACCGAUUGCGAAGGCAGCUCUCUAAUCUACAUCUGACGCUCAGGCACGAAAGCGUGGGGAUCAAACA